AUGAAAAUGCAUGCUGAGAAGAAGCACAAAUAUAGUAAGUGCAGCAAUUCAUAUGGCACAGAAUGGGACUUGAAAAGACACGCAGAGGACUGUGGCAAGAUCUUCCAGUGCACAUGUGGCUGUCCCUAUGCCAGUAGAACAGCACUGCAGUCUCACAUCUACCGAAUUGGCCACGAGAUCUCUGUAGAACACAGGGAUCCACCUAGUUAAAAAAAAAAAGGAAAAUGGAAAACUACUUGUAAAACCAGAAGGUAUUCAAUAAGACCAUUGAAUCACUGAACAACCAGCCAAUCCCUAGAUUAGACACUCAAGAACUAGAACCUUCAGAAAUAAAGCUAGAACCAUCUUUUGAAGACUCUUGAGGCUCUAACGCUGAAAAGCAAACCUCUUACAACACUGCCAAGAUAUCCUCAGAAGUGGCUUUGGUUAAACUACCAGUGAUGCAGUUUUCUCUCAUGUCUGUCUUUGUGCCUACAGCCGACUCCUUAGCCCAGUUCUUGGUGGUAAGUGUCCAUCAGGGCUCUGCCACACGGGCGGUGCACUUUCUGCCCUUGUUGGUAGGGACUCUGACCCUUGGCCUAGAUUCAGAGGCUUGCUCUCUAAAGGAGAGUAUACCUCUUUUCAAAACGGCUAAUCCUGUUGCUGUUGAGCCCAUAAGUACAGGUGUUCAAGUGAACUUGUAUAAAAAUCCAUCUGCUCAUUUACAAGAACUAGGGAACACAUGUCAAAAGAACAGCAUUUCUUCCAUCAGUGUGCAGGCAGGUCUGUCUUAUGCCUCACAAAACAACUUUAUACCUUCUGCACAGUGGGCCAGCACUGAUUCCUCUGUGUCAUCUUGUUCUCAAACUGAUUUGUCAUUUGAUUCUCAAGAGUCUCUUCCCAUUAGUGUUGACACUCAGACAAUUUUUGCCCAGCUCUAAGGUAACUUCAUGAAUAGCUGCUCAGACUGAUGCAGUUAUUGACACCUGUUUCCAGUCAGGUGGAGUCUCCAGAGAAACUCAAACCAGUGGGAUACAAAGUCCAACAGAAGACUACGUACAGAUGGACCAAGCUGCAAUGUGUGGAGACAUUUUUGAGAGUGCUCAUUCAUCAUAUAAUGUUGUUACAGGUAACAUUAUAAAUAACAGUUUAGUAGCAGAGAUAGUAACUCAUAGUUUUUUACCUCAGAAUGACCCUAAGACUUUAAAUCAAGAUAUUUAGAAAUCUGCACCAAUUAUGAACUUCAGUGCACAGAAUAGUAUGCUUCCUUCACAGAACAUGACAGAUAAUCAGACCCAAACCAUGGAUUUAUUAAGUGAUUUGGAAAACAUCUUGUCAAGUAAUCUUGUCAAGCUCAGACAUUGGAUCAUCUUUUGUCUGACACAAAUCCUGGACCUGACACCCAGCUCCCAUCUGGCCCAGCCCAGAAUCCUGGAAUCAAUUUUGAUAUCAAAGAGCUCUUUUCACUCUCGAAUAUCCAGACUCAAACUGAAGAGAGUGGACUUAGCACCAUGAACACUGAGCCAGUCUUGGAGUCACUGGCCAUAGAGACUCAAACAGACUUCCUACUUGCAGAUACCUCUGCUCAGUCCUACGGGUGUAGGGGAAAUUCUAACUUCUUAGGCCUUGAGAUGUUUGACGCACAGACACAGACAGACUUAAACUUUUUCUUAGACAGUAGCCCUCAUCUGCCUCUGGGAAGUAUUCUGAAACACUCCAGCUUUUUCAUGAGUACUGAUUCAUCUGACACAGAGACUCAAACUGAAGGGAUCUCCAGUGCUAAAAAUAUACCUGCUCUAGAAAGCAAAGUUCAGUUGAACAGUACAGAAACACACACCAGGAGUUCUGCGUUUGAAACCCUGGGGAACUUGUUCUUCACCAGCAAUGAAACUCGAACAGCGAUGGAUGACUUUAUUCUGGCUGAUCUGGCCUGGAACACGAUGGAGUCUCAGUUCACCUCUGUAGAAACCCAGACCUCUGCUGAACCACACACAGCCUCCAACUUCUAA
Callithrix jacchus (white-tufted-ear marmoset) is the source of this 1988-nucleotide non-coding RNA. Lineage: Eukaryota; Metazoa; Chordata; Mammalia; Primates; Cebidae. The record is from RefSeq and is a predicted model, not a curated record.